Molecule: long non-coding RNA, 43995 nt
Filed under: Hordeum vulgare
Lineage: Eukaryota; Viridiplantae; Streptophyta; Magnoliopsida; Poales; Poaceae
Description: long non-coding RNA (HVUL_LNC012830)
Source: RNAcentral
GCUCCCGAGGACACACGGGAAUUUCUGUCAUGCUAGUUUCAUCAUGUUCAUAUGAUUCGCGUUUGUUACUUUGAUAGUUUGAUAUGUGGGUGGACCGAUGCUUGGGUACUACCCUUACUUGGACAAGCAUCCCACUUAUGAUUAACCCCUCUCGCAAGCAUCCGCAACUACGAAAGAAGAAUUAAGAAAAAGUCUAACCAUAGCAUUAAACUAGUGGAUCCAAAUCAGCCCCUUACGAAGCAACACAUAAACUAGGGUUUAAGCUUCUGUCACUCUAGCAACCCAUCAUAUACUUACUACUUCCCAAUGCCUUCCUCUAGGCCCAAAUAAUGGUGAAGUUUUAUGUAGUCGACGUUCACAUAACACCACUAGAGGAAAAAAACAUAUCAAAAUACCGAACGAAUACCAAAUUCACAUGACUAUUAUUAGCAUGACUUAUCCCAUGUCCUCAGGAACAAAAGUAACUACUCACAAAGCAUAAUCAUAAUCAUGAUCAGAGGUGUAAUGAGUAGCAUCAAGGAUCUGAACAUAAACUCUUUCACCUAGUAAUCCAACUAGCAUCAACUACAAAGAGUAAUCAACACUACUAGCAACCUUACAAGUACCAAUCAGAGUCGCGAGACGGAGAUUGGUUACAAGAGAUGAACUAGGAUUUGGAGAUGAGAUGGUGCUGGUGAAGAUGUUGAUGAUGACGAGUCCCCUCCGAUGAGAGGACUGUUGGUGAUGACGAUGGCAACGAUUUCCCCCUCCAUGAGGGAAGUUUCCCCGGCAGGAUCGUCCUGCCGGAGCUCUAGAUUGGUUCUGCUCAAGUUCCGCCUCAUGACGGUGGCGAAACCACGAAAAAGCUCCCCUCUGAUUUUUUUCCUGGACGAAACCCUCCAUAUAGCAAAAGAGGGGGGCCAGUGGGCCAGUGGGCUGCCCACAAGCCCCCAUGGCGCGGCCUAGGGGGGUGGCCGCGCCUUGCAGGUUUGUGGGCACGCCCUGGUGCCCCUCCGGCACUUCUUCGACCCAGUAUUUUUUAUAAAUUAGGAAAAAAAUCUCCGUUGAUUUUCACGGCGUUUGGAGUUGCGGAGAAUAGGUAUCUCAACUUUGCUCCACUUUCAGGCCAGAAUUCCAGUUGCCGGUAUUCUCCCUCUUCAUGUAAACCUUGCAAAAUAAGAGAGAAAAGGCAUACGAAUAGUACCGUGAAGUGAAAUAACAACCAAAGAGGCGAUAAAUAUCAACAUGAAAAGAUGAUGCAAAAUGGACGUAUCAGCCGGCGCCCUUGGGGCUCCCUUGAGCCCCAAGUCUAGCCCUCCCCUCCUCCUAUAUAUAUUUGUGGUUUUAGGGAUUUUGAGAAACAACUUUGCCACGUGCAACUCAAACCUAUACCAUGUAGUUCUUCCUCUAGAUCGGAUUUCUGUGGAGCUCGGGUAGAGCCGUGAAGGAGUAGAUCAUCACCACCACCGGUGCGCCGUCACGCUACCGAAGAACUCAUCUACUUCCCCGUCUCUCUUGGUGGAUCAAGAAGGCAGAGAUCGUCAUCGAGCUGUACGUGUGCUGAACGCGGAGGUGCCGUCCGUUCGGCGCUAGAUCAGAACGGAUCGUGGGACGACGGUGAUUUGAAUCACAAAGUUGUACCACUACAUCAACCGCGUUUCUUAACGCUUCCCGCUUAGCGAUCUACAAGGGUAUGUGGAUCCAAUCUCCCACCCGUAGAUGAAUGAUACGUCUCAAACGUAUCUAUAUUUUUUGAUGGUUUCAUGCUGUUAUCUUGUCAUCUUUGGAUGUUUUAUGUACCUUUUAUAUAUUUUUUGGGACUAACUUAUUAAUUCAGCGCCAAGUGCUAGUUCCUGUUUUUUCUGUGUUUUUGGUUCUUUUCAGAUUUGAUUUUGGAACGGAGUCCAAACGGAAUAAAAUCCCCGAAAUGAUUUUUCCUGAACGAAAGAAGAUAAGGGGGCUUGUGGGCCAAGCUAGGAGGGCUACAGGGAGCCCACAAGCCCCCUCGCCGCCACCAGGGGGGUUGCGCAGGGCAGGCUUGUGGCCUCCCUGGUGCCCCCUGACCUACAUCUUUCGCCUAUAUAUUCCCUAAAAUACAGCAAAAAAUCAAGGGAUCCAUGAAAAUACUUUUCCGCCGCCGCAAGCUUCCGUUUCCGCGAGAUCUCAUCUGGAGACCCUUCCCGGUGCCCUGCCGGAGGUGACUUUGGAGUUGGAGGGCUUCUUCAUCAUCAUCAUCGCUCCUCCAAUGACUCGUGAGUAGUUCACCUCAUACCUACGGGUCCGUAGUUAGUAGCUAGAUGGCUUCUUCUCUCUCUUGGAUCUUCAAUACAAAGUUCUCCAUGAUCUUCAUGGAGAUCUAUCCGAUGUAAUCUUCUUUGGCGGUGUGUUUGUCGAGAUCCGAUGAAUUGUGGAUUUGUGAUAAGAUUAUCUAUGAUAUAUAUUUGAGUCUUUGCUGAUUUCUUAUAUGCAUGAUUUGAUAUCAUUGUAAGUCUCUACGAGUCUUGGGUUUUGUUUGGCCAACUAGAUCUAUGAUUCUUGCAAUGUGAGAAGUGCUUGGUUUUGGGUUCUUACCAUGUGGUGACCUUUCCCAGUGACAGUAGGGACAGCAAGGCACACAUCAUGUAGUUUCCAUCAAGGGUAACAAGGUGGGCUCUGUCGUAGAUAUGAGAUUGUCCAUCUACAUCAUGUCAUAUUGCUUAAGGCGUUACUCUGUUCUUUUGGACUUAAUACACUAGAUGCAUGCUGGAUAGCGGUCGACAUGUGGAGUAAUAGUAGUAGAUGCAGAAAGUAUCAGUCUACUUGUUUUGGACAUGAUGCCUAUAGAUAUAAUCAUUGCCAUAGAUGACGUCACGACUUUGCGCGGUUCUAUCAAUUGCUCGACAGUAAUUCAAUCACCCACCGUCUACUUGCUUUCAUGAGAGAAGCCACUAGUAAACACUACGGCCCCUGGGUCUAUUCACACCUAUCGUUUCCACUUUAGCUUUUACUUUGCUUUGUUACUUUGUUGCUUUCAGUUCUCACUUGGCAAACAAUCUAUAAGGGAUUGACAACCCCUUCAUAGGGUUGGGAGCAAGCUUUUUGUGUUUGUGCAGGCUCUUGUGAUACUCCUUCACUGGAUCGAUACCCUGGUUCUCAAAACUAAGGGAAAUACUUACCAACGUUGUGCUACAUCGCCCUUUCCGCUUCGAGGGAACACCACCACAAGGCUCCAAGGCCACGGGGGAAAUCCUUUGCAUAUUUGCCUAGGAAGUCCCUUAAGGCGUAGCCGUAGCAGAAGGAUUCCUGGUGCCAUCAACACACCUAUUUCUGGCGCCGUUGGAAGGUCUUUUUUGCAGUAGCAGAAGUAUUUCUGGCGUCGUUGCCGGGGAAGGAGAGAUCUAUCCAAGUAGGUCUCACAAACUCAUCUCUCGCAUUUAAUUUUUUGCCAGUUGCCUCUCGUUUUCCUCUUCCCCACUUCACAUUUGCCGUUUUCAUUUGCCUUUCUCCUUUGACGUUUUUCUUUUGCCUUUUGCCUUUUUGCCGUUUUCCUUUGCCAGUUUUCUUGCUUGCUUGUGUGCUUGUUUGUUUGUUGAAGUCAUCAUGGCUGAAAACACCAAACUUUACGACUUCUCGAGUACCUAUAAUAAUGAUUUUAUUAGUACUCCGAUUGCUCCCGCCACUAGUGCGGAAUCGUAUGAAAUCAACGCAGCUUUGCUGAAUCUUGUUAUGAAAGAGCAAUUCUCGGGCCUUCCUAGUGAAGAUGCCGCAUCCCAUCUCAAUACCUUCAUUGAGCUUUGUGAUAUGCAAAAGAAAAGAUAUGUGAAUAAUGACGUGAUUAAGUUGAAACUUUUUUCCUUUCUCGUUGUGAGAUCAUGCAAAAGCUUGGUUUUCUUCUUUGCCUAAAAAUAGUAUCGAUUCUUGGGAUAAGUGCAAAGAUGCUUACAUAUCCAAGUAUUUUCCGUCGGCUAAGAUCAUCUCCUUACGUAAUGAUAUCAUGAAUUUCAAGCAACUUGAUCAUGAACACGUUGCACAAUCUUGGGAGAGGAUGAAGCUUAUGAUUAGAAAUUGUCCCGCUCAUGGCUUGAGUUUGUGGAUGAUUAUACAAAUCUUUUACGCUGGCUUGAAUUUCGCUUCUCGCAAUAUCUUGGACUCCGCCUCAGGUGGAACGUUCAUGGAAAUCACAUUAGGAGACGCUACAAAACUCCUAGACAAUAUCAUGACCAACUACUCUCAGUGGCACACUGAAAGGUCACCUGCUAGCAAAAAGGUACACGCUAUAGAAGAGAUUAACUCGCUUAGUGCUAAGAUGGACGAGUUGAUGAAUUUGGUUGCUAGUAGAAACGCUACUGUAGAUCCUAAUGACAUGCCACUAUCUUCCUUGAUUGAGAGUAGCAACGCUAGUUUGGACGUGAAUUUUGUUGGUAGGAACAAUUUUGGGAACAACAACGCUUUUAGAGGAAACUAUGUUCCUAGACCUUUUCCUAGUAACUCCUCUAACAAUUAUGGCAAUUCCUACAACAACACUUAUGGAAAUCACAACAAGUUACCCUCUGGUUUAGAGAGUAAUAUCAAAAAGUUCAUCAACUCUCAAAAGAUUUUCAAUGCGUCCAUAGAGGAAAAACUACUCAAAAUUGACGAUUUGGCUAAGAGCGUUGAUAGGAUGUCUUGUGAUAUUGAUGCUUUUAAAGUUAGAUGUGCUCCUCCCAAGGUCAACUUGGAUGAAACUUUGAAAGCUAUGCGUGUCUCCAUGAAUGAGAGCAAAGAAAGAACCGCCCAAAUUCGCGCUAGGCAUGAAUGGUUUAAAAGGGUACGUUCUAGUGAUGCAAAUCACGAAGAUCUUAAAGUACUUGGUGUGUCUCCUCUUGAAUAUUUGUUUUCGCGUGUCAAACCUAUUUAUGGAGGGGCUGUAUAUGACUCCACUUUGGUUGAAAAACGCCCCAAUGAUUCGGAGUCCACCCAUCUUGAUGAUAAAGGUGUGGAGAGUGGAGUAGAAGAAAUCAAAAUUUUGGGUAGUAAUGAAACUCCCACUUUGGAUUUCAAGGAAUCCAAUUAUGAUAAUUGCUCCUUGUUUGAAUUCAUUUCUUUGAUGCAAUCCAUUGCAAACUCUCCACAUGCUUAUAGCCAAAGCAAAGCCUUUACCGCGCAUAUCGUAGAUGCUAUGAUGAAAUCUCUUCAAGAGAAGCUCGAAUUAGAAGUCUCUAUACCUAGAAAACUUCAUGAUGAGUGGGAACCUACUAUCAAAAUCAAGAUCAAAAACUAUGAGUGCAAUGCUUUGUGUGAUUUGGGUGCUAGUGUUUCCGCGAUUCCAAAGUCUUUAUGUGAUAUUCUUGGUUUUCCUGAGAAUGAAGAGUGUUCUCUUAAUUUGCAUCUUGCGGAUUCUACUGUCAAGAAAACCAUGGGAAGGAUCGGUGAUGUUCUUAUUGUUGCAAAUAAGAACUAUGUACCCGUGGAUUUCAUUGUACUUGACAUAGAUUGCAAUCCUUCAUGUCCCAUUAUUCUUGGUAGACCUUUCCUAAGGACUAUUGGUGCUAUCAUCGAUAUGAAGGAAGGGAAUAUUAGAUUUAAAUUUCCUUUAAAGAAGGGCAUGGAGCACUUUCCUAGAAAGAAAAAAAUAUUGCCUUAUGAAUCUAUGAUGAGGGCUACUUAUGGUUUGAGCACCAAAGAUGACUAUACGUGAUUCCAUCACCUUUCGCCUAGCUAAGGGCGUUAAACAAAAGCGCUUGUUGGGAGGCAACCCAAUGAAUCUAUCCUUUUUCUUUCUGUUUUGUGUUUUCCACACUUUCAUAAUUCUGUUAUGAUUGUGUUUUGUGUGUCUUUUUGCGUUUGUGCCAAGCAAAACCGUUAUGAUUAGUCUUGGGGAUGAUCGUUUGGUCAUGCUGGAAAAGACAGAAACUUUCUGCUCACGAAAAGAAUUUUCAUUUUUUUUUCUGUAAGAGAUUUUGAGUUGAUUCUUUUUUGCUUCUGAUUGCUACGCAAAUUCUUCAUACUGUCGUAAUUUGUGAGAACUUUUGAAGUACCAGAAGUAUACGAAAUAUACAGAUUGCUACAGACUGGUCUGCUGUUAACAGAUUCUGUUUUUGUUGUGUUGGUUGCUUAUUUUGAUGAAACUAUGGAUAGUAUCGGGGGGUAUUAGCCAUGGAAUAUUGAAGAUGCAAUAACCCAACAUCAACAUAAGUAGAAUUUAAGUUUGCUACAGUACCUAAGGAAGUGGUGUUUUGCUUUCUCAUACUAAUGUUAUCAUGAGUUUCUGUUUAAGUUUCGUGUUAUGAAGUUUUCAAGUUUUGGGUGAAGUUCUUAUGGACAAAGAGAUAAAGAGUGUCAAGAGCUCAAGCUUGGGGAUGCCCAAGGCACCCCAAUAGAUUCAAGGGUGCUGUAAAAGCCUAAGCUUGGGGAUGCCCCGGGAAGGCAUCCCCUCUCUCGUCUUCAAUCCAUCGGUAACGUUACUUGGGGCUAUAUUUUUAUUCACCACAUGUUAUGUGUUUUUGCUUGGAGCGUCUUGUAUCGUAGGAGUCUUUUAUUUUUGUUGUGUCACAAUCAUUCUUUCUGCACACCUAGAGAGAGAGACAUGCACUCACCGUGAUUUUGUCGAGCUUCACUUAUAUCUUUUGGUAGACAAUUCAGCUCACUUGUGCUUCACUUAUAUCUUUUGAGCUAGAUACUUUUGUUCUAUGUGCUUCACUUAUAUCUUUUAGAGCAUAGUGGUGCGUGGCUUGGUAGUUGAUCUAUGCUUUGAAAUUAGUAUCAAAAGGGGUAGUUAUCCAAAGGGAUACGAAAACUUCUACCUUCAUGUGCAUUGAAUAGUUAGAGAAGUUUGAUUCAUCUCAAUUAGUUUUGAGUUGUGGUUAUGGUAAUAUUGAAGUCAGGCUAGUAAGGUGUUGUGGAUCUAGAAAUACUUGUGUUGAAGUUAGUGAUUCCCGUAGAAUGCACGUAUGGUGAACCGCUAUGUGAUGAAAUUUGAGCAUGAUUAGUCUAUUGAUUGUCAUCCUUUGUGUGGCGGUCGGGAUCGCGCGAUGGUUUAUACCUACCAACCCUUCCCCUAGGACUAUGCGUUGAAUGCUUUGUUUCGAUUACUAAUAAAAUUUUUGCAACAAGUAUAUGAGUUCUUCAUGACUAAUGUUGAGUUCAUGGUUUAGAUGCACUUUCACCUUCCACCAUCACUAUCUUCUUAGUGCCGUGCAACUUUCGCCGGUGCACAAAACCCACCAUUAGCCUCCCUCAAAUCAGCCACCAUACCUACCUACUAUGGCUUUUUCAAAGUCAUUCCGAGAUAUAUUGCCAUGAAACUACCACCAUGACAUGUGCCACCACUUCUACAUUGCCAUUGCAUGAUCAUAAUAUAGCUAGCAUGAUGUUUCCAUUAAUGUCUAUGCCAUGCUAGAUCGUUGUCACGGUACACUACCGAAGGUAUUCCAUAUAGAGUCAUCGUUGCUCUAAGUUUUGAGUUGAAAGUGUGAUGAUCAUUAUUGAUGGAACAUUGUCCCAUGUGAGGAAAUAAAAGAGGCCAAAGAAGCCCAUAAAAAAAAAGAGGCCAAAAAGCCCACCAAAAAAAUAAAAAAAUGAGAGAAAAAGAGAGAAGGGACAAUGUUACCACUUUUCCACACUUGUGCAUAUUAAGCACCAUGAUCUUCAUGAUUGAGAGUCUCUCGUUUUGUCACCACCAUAUAGCUAGUGGGAAAUUUUCAUUUUAUAACUUGGCUUGUAUAUUCCAAUGAUAGGCUUCCUCAAAAUUUCCUUAGGUCUUCGUGAGCAAGCAAUUUGGAUGCACACCCACUAGUUUUCUUUAAGAGCUUUCACAUACUAUUAGCUCUAGUGCAUCAUUUGUAUGGCAAUCCCUACUCAUUCACAUUGAUAUCUAUUGAUGAGCAUCUCCACAGCUCAUUGAUAUGCCUAGUUAAUGUGACCAUCUUCUCCUUGUUUUGUCUUGCAACCUCCACCACACUCCACACCAUCUAUAGUGCUAAAACCAUGGCUCACGCUCAUGUAUUGCAUGAAAGUAGAAAAGGUUUGAGAAAGUAAAGGUGUGAAACAAUUACUUGGCCAAUACCGGGGUUGUGCAUGAUUUAAAUUCUUUGUGCAAUGAUGAUAGAGCAUAGCCACGCUAUAUGCUUUUGUAGGGAUAACUUUCUUUUGGCCUUGUUAUUUUGAAAGUUCAUGAUUACCUUGCUAGUUUGCUUGAAUUAUUAUUGUUUCCACGUCAAUAGCAAACUAUUGUUUUGAAUCUAAUGGAUCUGAACAUUCACAUCACAUAAGAGGAGUUACAAAGGACAUCUAUGCUAGGUAGCAUGAAAGCAUCAAAAAUUCAUUCUUUAUCACUUCCCUACUCGAGGACGAGGAGGAGUUAAGCUUGGGGAUGCUUGAUACGUCUCAAACGUAUCUAUAAUUUUUGAUGGUUUCAUGCUGUUAUCUUGUCAUCUUUGGAUGUUUUAUGUACCUUUUAUAUCUUUUUUGGGACUAACUUAUUAAUUCAGUGCCAAGUGCCAGUUCAUGUUUUUCUGUGUUUUUGGCUCUUUUCAGAUCUGAUUUUGGAACGGAGUCCAAACGGAAUAAAAUCCCCAAAAUGAUUUUUUACCGAACUAAAGAAGAUCACGGGGCUUGUGGGCCAAGCCAGGAGGGCUACAGGGAGCCCACAAGCCCCCUCGCCGCCACCAGGGGGGUGGCGCAGGGUAGGCUUGUGGCCUCCCUGGCGCCCCCCUGACCUACAUCUUUCGCCUAUGUAUUCCCUAAAAUACAACAAAAAAAAUCAAGGGAUCCACGAAAAUACUUUUCCACCGCCACAAGCUUCCGUUUCCGCGAGAUCUCAUCUGGAGACCCUUCCCGAUGCCUUGCCGGAGGGGACUUUGGAGUUGGAGGGCUUCUUCAUCAUCAUCAUCGCCCCUCCAAUGACUCGUGAGUAGUUCACUUCAGACCUACGGGUCCGCGGUUAGUAGCUAGAUGGCUUCUUCUCUCUCUUGGAUCUUCAAUACAAAGUUCUCCAUGAUCCUCAUGGAGAUCUAUCCGAUGUAAUCUUGUUUGGCGGUGUGUUUGUCGAGAUCCGAUGAAUUGUGGAUUUGUGAUCAGAUUAUCUAUGAUAUAUAUUUGAGUCUUUGCUGAUUUCUUAUAUGCAUGAUUUGAUAUCCUUGUAAGUCUCUCCGAGUCUUGGGUUUUGUUUGGCCAACUAGAUCUAUGAUUCUUGCAAUGGAAGAAGUGCUUGGUUUUGGGUUCUUACCGUGUGGUGACCUUUCCCAGUGAUAGUAGGGGCAGCAAGGCACACAUCAUGUAGUUGCCAUCAAGGGUAACAAGGUGGGCUUUGUCGUAGAUAUGAGAUUGUCCAUCUACAUCAUGUCAUCUUGCUUAAGGUGUUACUCUGUUCUUUUGGACUUAAUACACUAGAUGCACGCUGGAUAGCGGUCGACGUGUGGAGUAAUAGUAGUAGAUGCAGAGAGUAUCGGUCUACUUGUUUUGGACGUGAUGCCUAUAGAUAUAAUCAUUUCUAUAGAUGACGUCACGACUUUGCGCGGUUCUAUCAAUUUCUCGACAGUAAUUCGUUCACGCAUCGUCUAGUUGCUUUCAUGAGAGAAGCCACUAGUAAACACUACGGCCCCCGGGUCUAUUCACACCUAUCGUUUCCACUUUCGCUUUUACUUUGCUUUGUUACUUUGUUGCUUUCAGUUCUCACUUGGCAAACAAUCUAUAAGGGAUUGACAACCCCUUCAUAGCGUUGGGAGCAAGCUUUUUGUGUUUGUGCAGGCUCUUGUGAUACUCCUUCACUGGAUCGAUACCUUGGUUCUCAAAACUGAGGAAAAUACUUACCACCGCUGCGCUACAUCACCCUUUCCGCUUCAAGGGAACACCAAUGCAAGGCUCCAAGGCCACGGGGGAAAUCCUUUGCAUAUUUUCCUAGGAAGUCCCUUAAGGCGUAGCCGUAGCAGAAGGAUUCCUGGUGCCGUCAACACACCUAUUUCUGGCGCCGUUGGAAGGUCUUUUGUUGUAGUAGCAAUGAACAUCAUCAUGAUAGGUCUUCGUGUGCGUAGGAUUUUUUUGUUUCCCAUGCAACGUUCCCCAACAUAUCAAACCUUACAUACUCAAGGGGAGAAACACCAUUAAGGAGAAGAGAGAGUUACAAAUUUGUAUUUUCUGGAUUGAACUUGUCUCACCCUACCUACUCCCAAUAUCUAUAUGCUAUGAUUGAGGGGGAGAGGUAAUCAUAAAUUCAUUCUUAAGGGAGAAAGUUCUAAAUUUUCUUGGAGACAUAUCUAUCAUCAAAUCAUAUUUUCUCAUAUGUUCUCCAUAUAUUGGUGUUGUUGAAGCUCUUUGCAUCUUUACAAUAGUAUACUCUUGUGUUAUCUAACAACUGUUUUCUCAAGUGUACUCCUACUGCUAAGAUGCUCAAGAUCCUCAAGGUAAGUAUAUGCAUCAUAUCCUUGUUCAUGAUGAUCUCUUCUUUCUUGCACAUAUUGUUUGCAAUAGGGAGUCUUAAACAUGGAACUUCUUCAUUCAUAUGUGUUUUAUGCAUAUUUAAAAGAUUUACAUGACUUGUCUUAUCCUUUCUACCUUAUGUGUUACCAUGCAUUCCAAAGCAACUAUCCUUUAAAAAAGGGAUUGCACACAUUUAGGGGGAGCUUGUACUAGUCAUAUAUCUUUCAAAGCUGUCAUAUUCUAAUGCCUAUUUUUAUUUGAAGCUUUGAUUGUAUGUUGUCAUCAAUUACCAAAAAGGGGGAGAUUGAAAGCACAUAUGCUCCCUUGGUGGUUUCGAUAAUUCAUGACAACAUACAUUGUCUCUUGGACUAACACUUUUACCUAGUACAUUUUAGGUUUAGUCCAUAGAGAGCAUUGGCUAAAGUUUUGUGAGGAGACACCCCUCGAUGAAGGAAAGGGAAUAGGAUUGGCUCAAGCUUCAAGCAAGAAGACUCUUCAUUUUAUAUUUGCGAGAAAUCACUUUUGAGUCCACAGGAAAGUCAAUACUAUUAAAGGGGGCGAGGUAUUAAAAUGAACUCGUUGCUCAAGUGCUCAGAGAUAGCCACCAAAAGUACUCAGUCAUUUUCCCACAUAACACUUUUGUACAAAGCCAAAUAUCCAAAAUCGGUGCCACCAAGUUUUUAGUUUCGGCCCUACCAAUUUUCAAUCCAGACAGAACCCUAGCAAAACCUACCAUUUCGGUACCACCGAUUCUGCAUCGGUGCUACUGAGUUCAGGUGAGCAACCUUUUGUUGCCUCGGUAAAAAAAUCAGAAUUUCCGAGUUUGGGUAUUGGUGUCACCGAGUCGGGUCAUCUCACCGUUAACCACCUUUUCGGUUCUACCGAGUUGUGUAUAUCGGUCUCACCGAGAUUCAAAACUUGUUGCCUUUUGUGCAAGUCGGUACCACCGAGUUUAUGAAUUCAGUGUCACCGAGUUGGUCACUUUAGGUGUAACAGUUGGAUUUUGGGUGAUGCUUGUAUAUACCCCUCGACAAACCUCUCAUUCGUACAAGAAGCACUCAGAACACACACACUUCAUUGCCAGAUCCAUUUUUCUGAGAGAGAGCCACCUACUCAUGUGUUGAGAUGAAGAUAUUCCAAUCCAUUCAUUUGAAACUUGAUCUCUAGCCACCCCAAGUUGCUUUCCACCAAAUCAACCUCUCCUACCCAUGCCUAUUCUGUGAGAGAGUGAUUGAGUGUUGAGGAGACUAUCUUUAGACGCACAAGAGCGAGGAGUUAAUCUUUCUACCACAUCUAUUACCUUUUGGAGGGUGGUGCCUCCUAAAUUGGUCAGGAGUCGCUAGGGAGCCUCCUACUUCAUGUUGUGGAGUUGAACCAAGAUGUUUGUAAGGGCAAGGAGAUUGCCUAAUUUGUGGAGAUCUACCGUGAGUGAGGCUAGUCCUUCAUGGACAGAAGCCGUGGUAGAAUAGACAAGGCCACUUCUUUCUGGACCCCUUGUGGGUGGAGCCCUCCAUGGAAUCUCGUAGUCAUUACCCUCCGUGGGUUGAAGUCUCCACUAACAUGGACGUACGAUAGCACCACCUAUCGGAACCAUGCCAAAAAUCGCCAUGUCAACCUCUUUGCGUUUGGUCAGCUAAACUCUACUCCUUACUAGAUGUGCAAAGUCUUUCACUUUUCGCUGCCAUAUAUGUUGACUAGCAUGUGUAGGGUGCACUAGACUUGUUAGAAUCGCUAAAAUCUGCCAACCAUUAAUUUGGGAAAAGGCUAGGAUUUUAAUCUUGUCAAGUAGUCUAUUCACCCCCUCUAGACACCUCUUCUAUCGAUCCUACAAACGAAGCUCGGUGUUGAUAACCGAAGCACGGGCUACGCAUGCGAGGUAUCUCGAGGUCAAGAAACUCAAUGAGUAGGCGCUAGAUGCUUUUGGGGGACGUCGUGAUGCCCAUGAAGUACGCAGACACGACUAGGGCUUGAAGGAGUCGGAGAUCAAAUAGCGACGAUUGGCAAUCGGAGGUAGGGAAGAUGAUGACCAAGGCGACGAUUCUAGCCUCCUUUCGUUAAUUCCCUUUAGGAGAUGCUCAUGGAGUAAUUGUGAACCUCUUAGACACCUUACUGGGGCUCGUGGAAGCCGCCGGCCACGCGUACGACCAAUUUUCCUCCACACCAAUCUCCAGUGAGCCCCCUCUCUUGUUUGUCCACGUGCGCGUCCCUAAGGUUCAAUAGCUGGAGCACGUGUGUGGCCCACGAUUCCCAUGCUCCAGCCUCGCGCGAAGAUCUGUGACCACACGCUGAUUUCCACUAGCGCCUCGUCAGCUGCCCUCGAAGGUGGUGUCGGUGACGUCUCGCCAUCUGUGCCACGUGUGCGCCGUGUGCGUCUCAUGCGACCCUAAGGUGCAAGGUUCCACGCCCACACAUCGAGCUCUGGCAAGCUCUCACGACUAGCCGUUCAUGCCGGCGGUGGCCAUACCCGAGCCGGCGUCGUGUCCCUGUCAUGGUUUUUUUGCCACACCCAAUUAGUUUAGGAGGUAGUUUAGGUUUAAUUAGUGGUGUUAAUAUUAGUGGACCUCUCUUAGUGUUAGGUUAGUUGCUUAAAUUAGUCAACUCAAAAAAGUUGUUUAAAUUAGUUUUAGCAUUAGCAUAACCCAUCUUCAAUGACAUCUGGGCCCUAACCCUCGUGUUGACUAGUUGUUGUUGACUAGGGAUAUCCAAACAGGGGCAAACAUGUCCAAAGCGGCACUACGCUGUGGUCAAACGACAUUGACCGAACAGAGCCGUGAGAGAAGGGCAUUCGGAUGACCUCGGAGGAAAAAUUAAGGGCAAAACUAAGCGCGCUGGAAAAGUAAGGACAAAACCCGUGGGUAGGAACCAAUUAGGGAUAAAAUUGCAAUUGUCCCUUUAGAAUAAUAUGUGGUACAAAAGAUUAUUAUAUGUAGCUUGUUAAUGGACGGUUAUACUCGGGGAGAGCACUUUUUAUGAAGGUUGUAGAGGCACGAUUAUUCUUACAAUAAGGGCACGGUUAUUCAUGAAUUAGGGGCUCUAUCGUGCUUUUGUUUUUUAAUUAUACACAUUUGUACGUACAUUGUGAGAUUCACGGUUGUUUAUGUAUCGAAUGCAAUGACGUGGUUUUAUGAUGAAAUGUGCGAAUGCAUGGAGAAGAAGCACGUAUUUAUUUGAAUGAGAUACAUGGUUUUUAAAUGAGAUAUCUUUAUUGAUAGAGAGACACGGUCUAGUUUUACAUCACAGACCCGUGCUUCGUGACUCAAUUUCAGUCGUGCCUCUCACACGCGCACCCCCCAUUCUUGGUGCGUACCGUGCUUUCUAUCUCCGGCCAGGACGUGUCUCUAUGACACGCAGCCCUUGCAUAUCCCGUAUACAAAUACGUGCAUAUCUCUAAUAUAAAACUGUGAUAUAGCUUUACAUCACGGACCAUGCUUCGUAACUCCCUCGUAGCCAUGUUUCUCGCACACACACUCCCCAUUCUUGGCGCAGACCGUGUUUUGUGUCUCCCAAAGAGUCGUGCCUCUCGCACACGCAGCGUCAUGCAUGUCCGGCAUAGAUAUACGUGCAUCUACCAAAUAUAAAACCAUGCUCUAGGUUUACAUCACGGGCUGUGGUUCAUGUCUCUCUUCUAGCCAUGCCUCUUGCACACAAAGCAGAGUACAUACCCAGAGUAGCAAUACGUGGAUCUUCGUGAUAUGAAUCCGUGCUUCCUAUGUACACAUACAGUGCAUUUUGCUAAGUAAAAUCGUGCUUCUCUUUUACAUCAUAGAUCAAAUGUAUUGCAUUGCUUAUAUAUAUGAGGGUGUUGUGUUAUUUUCCUCAACCACAUGUACCAACGUCAUACUCCCAUCAUAGCACGUACCACUACCCACCGACUAUCCGGAUCAACACUAUAAACAGUCUGGUCAAUUGAACACAUAUAGACAGUUUAUUUGCCGGUGAAAGUGGUGAACCACUAACUUUCCCACUUAUCUUGCUUCUGUUAACAUACCCGUGAGUUCAUUGAGACUGAUCCAUAAAAAUAACAACAUUGACUACGACAAUCCAUUGUGCUAUUUAUAGACCACUUGCAUCCAGUAGGGUAUCGUCAUAUAGAUAUCGUUAGGCAAUACAAUUGGCUAUUUAUAGAUCAGUUGCAUUCAGUAGAAGUUCAACUAGAUCUGAGCAUUACUAGCCACAUUUCAAGAGAACUAUUAAUCAGUGCUUCGAGGUAACAUAUAUGCACUACUAUUUCAUAUCGAGUAGGAUAUAUCACUAGUUGUUCUAAAUAAUUGAUGUGUAAUCUUGUGAGAUAUAAAUGGCCAAAAAUGCAACACUUGUGGUAUUGGUUUGUCAACAUGUUGUCUAGAUCAUGUACAAAUUCAAUAGUUUUGGGGGUUUGUUCCAGAAGAGCAUCGUGUUGGCAUGGUAAGUUAAGCAUUUCAUAAUAUAAAUUUGUCACAUACUAUAUGGUCAUUUCUUAUAAUGUCGUGUUGGUAUUAGUUGUAGUGCAUGAUUGGUUUAUCUUGUUCAGUUAUUCGAAAGGGUUAAUUAUGGUAUCCAACUACUAUGUGAGGAAUGUACCUUGCACGGGAGUUCAGCAACUCAAACACUACAUAAAAUGUUAUUUCACUGCCACAACUUCUCAUAGAUCUAGUUAGAGAAUGUAUGCACGCGAUCAUGGAAAUACAAUUGAAAUUGGUGGUGGUGGAUGGGAUUUCUUAUGCUAUGACUAUGAUCUAAAGGCAGGGGACCAGAUAUAUUUUCAUUAUGAGUGUGUACAUUUUGUGAUGUACAUGUCUCCUUUACACCCUAUUGGCGAACCAAAGGAUAUCAUACGUAAGAAUUUGAUACCAUAUUACAUUUUGUUUACUUAAUUUCCUUAUUAUUCACGUGUUAUUGUGCCUGUUUAUUUUGUGGAAGCGGAUGUAUAUGACGAAGAGGGACAAAUUGUGACGUACAACAAUGAAUGUAAUCUUACGCCAAUGCAACGUUUAAACGUGACAAACAUAACUGAUGUGUACCCCCAAUAUCCAGCACAAAUACAUUGCUUCACUAGGGAAAACAUGCACGAAAACAUCAUGGUAAGUUGUUUAUAAACUUUAGUGCAUACUCUCUACAUACCUAACAUUAUUUGUUUACACAACUCAUACAUGGACCAUUAGUUGCGAGACUUGGUCUCCAAGAGUUUGGCUAGGUACUGUUGGAAAUGCAUCGUGACAUACACCUAUGAGUAGAAGUUCCUUAUCGUAUCAAGCAUGAAUGACUUCUAGAAAUUAAAGGAGGGUGAUGGAAAGACUUUGUAGAUAUUCAUGAUAUAGUAGUUUAUCAACGGGUCGUGAUAUUGGCAAUUCCUUCAUCAAAUCAUUACUAUCUAAGACUUAGGUUCAAAACUAUUGGAGCACUCAUAGUUCAGGAUUAUAGUCGAGACAAAGAUGGUGAUGAUUCAGAUGAAUAAGAGAAUAAAGGUUACCAUGAAGAGGAUGACGGAUGUUCUGUGAACUUGAUGAUUUGUUUGCACCUAGAUUGACAUAUGUUGUAAGUCCCUACGUGUAUGAACAACAUUGUUUAGUUAGUAGUUUUCUUAUUCUUCUGUAAUCCAAGCAUUCAUUUAAUAAGAUUAAUCAAAUAUGUAAGGUUGUUAUAUCGUGUCUCCCAAUGAUCCGUGCCUCUUGCAACGCACCCACGUGCAUGUCCUAUGAAGAAAUUAGUGACUCUUCCUAAUUCAGAAUUGUGCUCUAUUUUUACAUCACAGAGCAUGCUUCGUGUCUCCUUGCCAACCAUGCCUCUCGCACACGCAUCCCCGUGCAUGUCCUGCAAACAAACUCUUGCCUCUUCCUAAUACAUAACUGUGCUAUUGUUUGACAUGACAGACAGUGCUUCGUGUCUCCCACCAAGUCAUGCCUCUCGCACACGCACCCCCAUGCAUGUCCUUCUACACAUACUUGCAUCUUCGUGCUAUAUUUUUGCAUCACAGGCCUUUGUUUUGUGUCUCCCUGCUAGCUGUGUGUAUGAAUCACAAAGCAUAGUGUAUAUCUAGAGUACAUAUAGGUGCGUCUUCCUAACAUGAAUCUAUGCUUCUGUUUUUUGCAUCACGGAUGCUCGUGUCGUUGUUAUGGGCGACUGGAUAAACACUACUUAGUGAAGUGACUUUACUUGAUAUAAUAUGGUGUGAAGUGAGUUUUCAAAAUGUGUGCCCACUUGACUGAAUUUUGACUGACAAUUUAAAGAAAAUUUACAAUGAAAAAAAUGUUGGUUCAUAUGAUCUACAUUAUGAGACUUUAAAUAGUCAAUUGGUUCAUAUGAGCUACAUAAGUACCAUUUCAACUAGCAAACUACGAGCAUUUAGACACGGGAUCUGUUGGGGAGACUGUUGGAAAUAUGCCCUAGAGGCAAUAAUAAAUUAGUUAUUAUUAUAUUUCUUUGUUCAUGAUAAUCGUUUAUUAUCCAUGCUAUAAUUGUAUUGAUUGGAAACACAGUGCAUGUGUGGAUACAUAGACAAAACACUGUCCCUAGUAAGCCUCUAGUUGACUAGCUCGUUGAUCAAAGAGGGUCAAGGUUGCCUGACCAUAGGCAAGUGUUGUCACUUGAUAACGGGAUCACAUCAUUAGGAGAAUCAUGUGAUGGGCUAGACCCAAACUAAUAGACGUAGCAUGUUGAUCGUGUCAUUUUGUUGCUACUGUUUUCUGCGUGUCAAGUAUUUGUUCCUAUGACCAUGAGAUCAUAUAACUCACUGACGCCGGAGGAAUGCUUUGUGUGUAUCAAACAUCGCAACGUAACUGGGUGACUAUAAAGAUGCUCUACAGGUAUCUCCGAAGUUGUUCGUUGAGUUAGUAUGGAUCGAGACUGGGAUUUGUCACUCCGUGUGACGGAGAGGUAUCUUGGGGCCCACUCGGUAAUAUAACAUCACACACAAGCCUUGCAAGCAUUGUGACUUAGUGUAAGUUGCGGGAUCUUGUAUUACGGAACGAGUAAAGAGACUUGCCGGUAAACGAGAUUGAAAUAGGUAUGCGGAUACUGACGAUCGAAUCUCGGGCAAGUAACAUACGGAAGGACAAAGGGAAUGACAUACGGGAUUAUAUGAAUCCUUGGCACUGAGGUUCAAAUGAUAAGAUCUUCGUAGAAUAUGUAGGAUCCAAUAUGGGCAUCCAAGUCCCGCUAUUGGAUAUUGACCGAGGAGUUACUCGGGUCAUGUCUACAUAGUUCUCGAACCCGCAGGGUCUGCACACUUAAGGUUCGACGUUGUUUUAUGCGUAUUUGAGUUAUAUGGUUGGUUACCGAAUGUUGUUCGGAGUCCCGGAUGAGAUCACGGGCGUCACGAGGGUUUACGGAAUGGUCCGGAAACGAAGAUUGAUAUAUAGGAUGACCUGAUUUGAUUACUGGAAGGUUUUCGGAGUUACCGGGAAUGACGAAUGGGUUCCGGGUGUUCACCGGGGGGGGGGGGGGGGGGGGGGUGUUCGGGGGGGGGGGGGGGGGGGCAGCCCACCCCGGGGAAGCCCAUAGGCCUUGGGGGUGGCGCACCAACCCUUGGUGGGCUGGUGGGACAGCCCAAGAAGGCCCUAUGCGCCAUAGAUAGAAAAUCAAAGAGAAAAGAAAAAAAAGGAGGUGGGAAAGCAGAGAAGGACUCCACCUUCCAAUCCUAGUUGGACUAGGAUUGGAGGAGGACUCCUCCUCCCUUGGUGGCGCAGCCCUUGGGGCUCCUUGAACCUCAAGGCAAGCCUCCCCUCCCCUCCUCCUAUAUAUAUGGAGCUAUUAGGGCUGAUUUGAGACAACUUUUGCCACGGCAGCCCGACCACAUACCUCCACGGUUUUACCUCUAGAUCGCGUUUCUGCGGAGCUCGGGCGGAGCCCUGCUGAGAUUAGAUCACCACCAACCUCCGGAGCGCCGUCACGCUGCCGGAGAACUCAUCUACCUCUCCGUCUCUCUUGCUGGAUCAAGAAGGCCAAGAUCAUCGUCGAGCUGUACGGGUGCUGAACGCGGAGGUGCCGUCCGUUCGGCACUAGAUCGUGGGACGGAUCGCGGGACGGUUCGUGGGACGGUUCGCGGGGCGGAUCGAGGGACGUGAGGACGUUCCACUACAUCAACCGCGUUCACUAACGCUUCUGCUGUGCGAUCUAGAAGGGUACGUAGAUCGAAAAUCCCCUCUCGUAGAUGGACAUCACCAUGAUAGGUCUUCGUGCACGUAAGAAAUUUUUUGUUUCCCAAGCGACAUUCCCCAACAAACGUUGCAUGGGAAACAAAAAUUUCCUACGCACACGCAAUACCUAUCCAUGGUGAUGAUCAUCUACGAGAGGGAAGUUAGGAUCGACAUACCCUUGUAGAUCACUAGGCGGAAGCAUAUAUAACGCGGUUGAAGUAGUGGAACAUCUUCGCGAUCCAAAUUGCAGUCCAUCCCGCGAUCUCAUCACAAACCGUCCCGCGAUCCCAUCACGAUCCAUACUGAUCUAGUGCCGAACGGACGACACCUCCAUGUUCAGAACACGUGCAACACGAUGACGAUCUCCGCCUUCUUGAUCCAGCAAGAGAGACGAAGAGGUAGCUGAAUUCUCCGGCAACACAAUGGCGUGGUGAUGAUGGUGGUGGAGCUACCCCGGCAGGGCUUCGCCGUACCGUACCGAACUAGCUACGGGGUGUCACGAAGUGGUGGAGGGAGAGAGGGAUGCGCCCUGGCUUGAGGUGCGAAAAGCAUCUCUACCCUCUAGUAUAUAUAGGAGGGAGGGGGGGGGGGNNNNNNNNNNGGGGGGGGGGGAGGAUGCAAUCUCAAAACCCUCAUGGGUUUGGCCGAAGUGUAUAUGAGUUGGAGGAGUCCACCUCCAAUCCUACUCCUAGUAGGAUUCCACCUUUUCUAUUCCUUCCCUUUCCCCCUUUUUCCCUUUUCCCCUUAUUUGUUCCUUCGCCGAAAUAGGCCCUAUUGGGCUGGCCACACCAGCCCACUUAGGGCUGGUGCACCACCUUUAGGCCUGUUAGGUUCUCUCCCGGGUGGGUGGUCCCUCCCGGUAAAAUCCCGGAACCCAUUCGUCACUCCCGCUACUUUACCGGUAAUGCCCGAAAACUUUCCAGAAGCCAAAUGCAACUUUCCCAUAUAUAAAUCUUUACAUCUGGAACAUUCCGGAGCUCCUCGCGAUGUCCGAGAUCUCAUCUGGGACUCCAAACAACUUUCGGUCACCAACAUACAUAACUCAAUAAUACCGAAACAUCACUAAACCUUAAGUGUGCAGACCCUGCGGGUUCAAGAACUAUGUAGACAUGACCAGAGACACUCUUUGAUCAAUAACCAAUAGUGAGACCUGGAUGCCCAUAUUGGCUCCUACAUAUUCUACAAAUAUCUUCAUCGGUUGAACCUCUAUGUCAAGGAUUCAGUUAAUCUCGUAUGAUGUUCCCUUUGUCCAUCGGUAUGUUACUUGCCCAGGAUUGGAUCGUUGGUAUCUCUAUACCUAGCUCAAUCCCAUUACCGGCAAGUCUCUUUACUCAUUCCGUAAUACCAGAUCCCGUGACUAACUCGUUGGUCACAUUGCUUGCAAGGCUUGUUGUGAUGGUGUAUUAUCGAGUGGGCCCUGAGAUACCUCUCCGUCACACGGAGUGACAAAUCCCAGUUUUGGUUCAUGCCAACCCAAUAGACAUCUUUGGAGAUACCUGUAGAGCACCUUUAUAGUCACCCAGUAACGUUGCGACAUUUGAUACACACAAGGUAUUCCUCCGGUGUCCGGGAGUUGCAUGAUCUCAUGGUCAUAGGAACAGAUACAUUGACAUGCAGGAAAUAGUAGCAAUAAACUGACACGAUCAUAUGCUAUGUUUAUAGUUUGGGUCUUGUCCAUCACAUCAUUCUCCUAAUGAUGUGACCCCGUUAUCAAACAACAUCUCAUGUCUAUGGCGAGGAAACCUUGACCAUCUUUGAUCAACGAGCUAGUCAACUAGAGGCUCACUAGGGACAGUGUGUUGUAUAUGUAUCCACACAUGUAUUUGAGUUCCCAAUCAAUAUAAUUCUAGCAUGGAUAAUAAAUGAUUAUCAUGAACAAGAAAAUAUAAUAAUAACUAAUUUAUUAUCGCCUCUAGGGCAUAUUUCCAAGAGUCUCCCACUUGCACUAGAGUCAAUAAUCUAGUUCACAUCACUAUGUGAUUGUAAUGAAUCUAACACCCAUGGGGUUUGAUCAUAUCUUGCUCGUGAGAGAGGUUUUUAGUCAACGGGUCUCAAUCUUUUAGAUCCGUGUGUGCUUUACCAAUCUCUAUGUCAUCCUAUAGAUGCUGCUACCACAUGCCAUUUGGAACUAUUCCAAAUGACCGCUCCACUAUACGAAUCCGGUUUGCUGCUCAGAGUUAUCCGGAUUAGUGUUAAAGAUUGCAUCAAAGUAACCCUUUACGACGAACUCUUUUAUCACCUCCAUAAUCGAGAAAAAUUGCUUAAUCCACUAGUUACUAAGGAUAACUUUUGACCGAUAUCCAGUAAUCCAUUCCCGAAUCACUUUUGUACCACUCGACAGAUUCAUGGCAAGGCACACAUCAGGUGCGUUACACAACAUAUCAUACUAUAGAGCCUACAGCUAAGGCUUAGGGGACAACCUUCAUCCUUACUCUUUUCUGCUGUGGUCGGACUUUGAGUCUUACUCAAAUUCACACCUUACAACACAGCCAAGAACCCCUUCUUUGCCGAUCUAUUUUGAACUCCUUCAAAAACCUUGUCAAGGCAUGCAUUUCAUUGAAGUUUUAUGAAGCGUCUUGAUCUAUCUUUAUAGAUCUUGAUGCUCAAUGUUCAAGUAGCUUAAUCUAGGCUUUCCUUUGAAAAACUCCUUUCAAACAACCCUAUAUGCUUUCCAGAAAUUCUACAUCAUUUUUGAUCAACAAAAAAUGUCAACCACAUAUACUCAUCAGAAAUUCUAUAGUGCUCCCACUCACUUUCUUGGAAAUACAAGUUUCUCAUAAACUAUGUAUAAACCCAAAAACUUUGAUCAUCUCAUCAAAGCGUAUAUUCCAACUCUGAGAUGCUUGCUCUAGUCCAUAGAAGGAUCGCUGGAGCUUGCAUACUUAUUAGCAUCCUUAGGAUCGACAAAACCUUGUGGUUGUAUCACAUACAACCUUUCCUCAAGGAAACCGUCGAGGAAACAAUGUUUUGACAUCCUAUCUGCAAGAUUUCAUAAAUAAUGCAACAAUUGCUAACAUAAUUCCAACAUACUUCUAGCAUCGCUACGAGUGAGAAAGUCUCAUCACAGUCAAUUCCUUGAACUUGUCGGAAACAUCUUUGCGACAAGUCGAGCUUUCUUAAUAGUGACAUUUACCAUCAUCAUCUGUCUUCCUUUUAAAGAUCCAUCUGUACCUAAUAGCCUUACAACCAUCAAGUAGUUCUUCCAAAGUCUAUACUUUGUUUUCAUACAUGGAUCCUACCUCGGAUUUCAUGGCGUCCAGCCAUUCGUCGAAAUCCAGGCCCACCAUCGCUUCUCCAUAGCUCGUAGGUUCAUUGUUGUCUAGCAACAUGACCUCCGAGACAUGAUUACCGUACCACUCUGGAGAAGUACGUUUCCUUGUCAACCCACGAUGUUUGGAUGUAACUUGAUCUGAAGCUUCAUGAUCACCAUCAUUAGCUUUCCACUUCAACUAGUGUAGGCGCCACAGGAACAUCUUCGUGCGCCUUGCUACUCAUUGGUUGAAGUGACCAUUCAAUAACCUCAUCAAGUUUCCACCAUCCUCCCACUCCACUCUUUCGAGAGAAACUCUUUCUCGAGAAAGGGCCCGUUUCUAGAAACAAACACUUUGCUCUCAGGUCUGAGAUAGGAGGUAUACCCAACUGUUUUGGGUGUCCUAUGAAGAUGCAUUUAUUCGCUUUGGGUUCGAGCUUAUCAGGCUGAAACUUCCUCACAUAAGCAUUGCAGCCCCAAACUUUUAAGAAACGACAACUUAGGUUUCUCCAAACAAUAGUUCACACAGUGUCAUCUCAACGGUAUUACGUGGUGCCCUAUUAAAAGCGAAUGUGGUUGUCUUUAAUGCAUAAUCCAAAAACGAUAGUGGUAAUUCGAUAAGGGACAUCAUAGUAUGCACCAUAUCCAAUAGGGCACGGCUAUGACAUUCGGACACACUAUCACGCUAUGGUGUUCCAGGUGGCAUGAGUUGUGAAACAAUUUCCGCAUUGUCUUAAAUGUGUACCAAACUCGCAACUCAGAAAUUCAUCUCUACGAUCAUAUCGUAGACAUUUCAUCCUCUUGUCACGACGAUCUUCAACUUCACUCUGAAAUUACUUGAACCUUUUAAUAAUUCAGACUUGUGUUCCAUCAAGUAAAUAUACUAGUAUCUACUCAAAUCAUUUGUGAAGUAAGAACAUAACAAUAUCCACUGCGUGCCUCAACACUCAUUGGACCGCAUACAUUAAAAAUGUAUUACUUCCAAUAAGUUACUUUAUUUUUCUAUCUCACUGGAAAACGAGGCCUUCAGUCAUCUUGCUCAUGUGGCAUGAUUUGCAUGUCUCAAGUGAUUCAAAAUCAAGUGAGUCCAAACGAUCCAUCUACAUGGAGUUUCUUCUUGCGUUUGCACCAAUAGGCAUGGUUUGCAUGUCUCAAACGAUUCAAAAACGAGUGAGUCCAAAGAUCCAUCAGUGUGUUUUACACAAAUAUGACUCAAGUGGCAGUGCCACAAGUAAGUGGUACUAUCAUUACUACUUUGUAUCUUUUGACAUCAAAUGUUAUGAAUAUGUGUAAUACUACGAUCAAUAUUCAAUAACCCAUUCAUAUUAGGUGCAUGACCAUUGAAGGCUUUAUUCAAGUAAACAAAAUGACCAUUAUUCUCUUUUAAUGAAUAACCGUAUUGCAAUAAACAUAAUCUAAUCAUGUUCAUGCUCAACGCAAGCACCAAACAACAUUUAGGUUGAACACUAAUCUUGAAAGUAGAGGGAGCAUGCGAUGGUGAUCACAUCAUCCUUGGAAACACUUCCAACACACAUCGUCACCUUGCCUUUAGCUAGUCUCUGUUUUUUCGCAGCUUUGAUUUUGAGUUACUAACACUUAGAAACCAAACCGGUAUCUAAUACCCCGGUGCUACUAGGAGUACUAGUAACGUACACAUCAGUAUCAUGUAUAUCCAAUAUACUUUUGUUGACUUUGCCAGCCUUCUCAUCUACCAAGUAACUAGGGUAGUUCCGCUUCAGCGACCGUUCCACUCAUAAUAGAAGCACUUAGUCUCGGGUUUGGGUUCAAUCUUGGGUUUCUUAACUAGAGUGGCAACUCGUUUGGCAUUUCAUGAAGUAGCCCUUUUAACCCUUGCCCUUCUCAAAACUAGUGGUUUUACUAACCAUCGACACUUGAUGCUCCUACCCGAUUUCUUCCUUCGCGGUGUCAAACAUCGCGAAUAGCUCAAGGAUCAUCAUCUCUAUCCCUGAUAUGUUAUAGUUCAUCACAAAGCUCAGUAGCUUGGUGGCAGUGACUUUGGAGAACUAUGUCAAUCACUAUCUUAUCUGGAAGAUCAACUCCCACUCGAUUCAAGCGAUUGUUGCACCCAGACAAUCUGAGCACAUGCUCAACGAUUGAGCUUUUCUCCCUUACUUCGCAUGCCAAGAAUCUUGUCGGAGGUCUCAUACCUCUUAACAUGGUCACGAGCCUGAAAUCCAAAUUUCAGCUCUUCGAACAUCUCAUAUGUUCCGUGACGUUCAAAACGUCUUUGGCGCCUCAAUUCUAAGCCGUUAAGCAUUACGCACUGAACUAUCACAUAGUCAUCAAAAACGUGUAUGUCAGAUGUUCACAAUAUCCACAUAUGAUGCUCGGGGUUCAGCACACCGAGCGAUGCAUUAAGGACAUAAGCCUUCUGCGCAGCAAUAAGGACAAUCCUCAGUUUACGGACCCAGUCCGCAUAGUUGCUACUAUCAUCUUUCAACUAAGUUUUCUCUAGGAACAUACGAAUAGUAGAGCUACAACACAAGCUACAACAUAAAUUGCAAAGAUAUUUUUGACUAUGUUCAUGAUAAUAAGUUCAAUUAAUCAUACUACUUCAGAACUCCCACUCAAAUUGACACCCCUCAAGUCAUUCGAGUGAUACAUGAUCCAAAUUUACUAACUCAACUCCGAUCAUCAAGUGAGUUGAGUUUAGCUUCAAUGGUGAACAUCUCCAUGUUGAUCAUAUCCACUAUAUGAUUCAUGCUCGACCUUUCGGUCUCUUGUGUUCUGAGGCCAUGUCUGUACAUGCUAGGCUCGUCAAGUUUAACCCAAGUGUUCCGCGUGUGCAACUGUUUUGCACCCGUUGUAUGUGAAUGUUGAGUCUAUCACACCCGAUCAUCACGUGGUGUAUCGAAACGACGAACUAUUGCAACGGUGCACAGUCGAGGAGAACACAAUUUUAUCUUGAAAUUUUAGUGAGGGAUCACCUUAUAAUGCUACCGUCGUCCUAAGCAAAAUAAGGUGCAUAAAAGGAUUAACAUCACAUGCAAAUCAUAAGUGACAUGAUAUGUCCAUGAACUUGUGCUUCUUGAUCUCCAUCACUGUGACAGCCCGAGACCGACGUUCCACAAGAUUCCCCUUCUAUUUCGUUUUCGUCUUGUGUCUAUUUUCUUUUGUCGCAUCAUCAUCGCAUCAUGCGCAUCAUCAGCAUUGCAUCGGCAUCUCCGUUGCCGCCAAUUUUCAAAAGUUGCAUCCGUUGUUAGUUGCCAGUUCUCGUCGUUGUUCGUUCUGAGCCCAUUCAUACACACACGCGCCUGCGACAUCGUAGAAACCUUGUUUUAGAAGUGUGUGUAAAAUUUCUCUCAUCGGGGUGAAACUUUGCAUGCGGUCGUAAUUAGUUAUAGCUAGGCCGCCUGUCGAAUUUCGUCACGAUCGGAGUCCGUCUGGUACCCGAACGGUCGACCAUAGCGGCACCGUAUUCGGUCUACCGUCGGAAGGUUGUCGGUGUUUUAAAAAUUGUUGCCGCGCCGCCCGUUCUCCUUCUCGUCUCCGGAUAUCCACUCUACACGACUUUGUAACCGUUCCCGUGUUCGGAAUUAUCCGAAUCCGACCGCAUGGUUGGAUCCAGAACGGAAUUCCGGUUAACCUAGCCCCCCAUUUGUCUAUAUAUAGGCCUCCUCCUAUUAUUUAGACAGCCUACCACCCUCUGCCUCGUUUUCCGUGCCCCACCUACCCCAGCAGACUCUCUCUCCCCUGUCUCCCACCUCCAGCCGCCGGGCCCGCCCGAGCCCAUCGGGGCCCGAGGCAAACCCUAGUCGAGCCCCCAUGGCUCUCCCUGCCCGAGCUUCCCUGCCCGCGCCGCCGCACCUCCCUCACCGCCGCACCUCGCCGGCGCCGCCCCGCUUGCGGGAGGUUCGCCGGAGAUCCCUCGCCGGCCGCCACCCCGCUCCUCCUCGGUGUACGCCGUAGCCGGAUCCCGCAGCUCCGGCCUCCCCGUGCCUCUGCUUGCCUCACGCGCCGCCCGCCUGCUCGCCUUCGGCAUCCGCGCCGCCAUUUUUCUCUUGCUGGUUGUAUGUUUUGAAGUGCUCGUGACCGUCGUUGCACACAUAUUGCAUCCAUGCCAUCAUAUCUUGCGGUGCUUGUAUCUUUUGAACCGUAGCUCCGUUGGAGUUGUUCUCUAUGUGUAAAUUGCUUGAAAUGACGCGUAGAAUCACGUGAACCUAUUUGUUUUGCUGUUUAACAACUAAUUAAAUGUGUUAGUUCAGAUCUGGACAGAACUGUAAAUUAACAUAUGAGGUCGUUUCGGAGGUGCUAUAUGUCAUUUCCGACCUCAUUUAAAAUGCCUAGAUAGGUAGAUUAAUUGUGCUUCACCUCUUGCCAUGUUUAAUCACAUUUAAUAAUGCCGUGUAUCUAAUCGGGAUAGAACUAAAUAAUUAAACGUGGAGUUUCGUCAAUAUGCAACUCGUUGCAUAUUGAACUUCACUUAAUGUGUAGUGUUUGAUUGUGUGAAUUGUCAUGCCGUGACUUGCAUGUAUUCAGCUGCUCAUGCAUCAUAUGUGUUGUGCAUCAUGUGGUGAAUAUCGUGUGUGUGAUUCUUGUUUUCGGUUUCCUCCGUCUCGAUAGAAUUCCGCAAGCGUGUCGGAUGGUGAGGACCCGUUCGACUACAUUGGUUCGUCUGCUUCACGGAGUCAUUCUUCUUCCAAGCGGGAUCUCAGGCAAGAUGACCAUUUCCCCAGAUACCGUUACUAUCAUUGCCAUGCUAGUAUUACCGUUUCUAUCGAUUAUGUCUCCUUGCCUACCACGUGUUAUAUAUAAGCCUCUCAACAAUGCCAUGAAUACCUUCAACCUGUUCAACCUAGCAAACCACUGAUUGGCUAUGUUACCGCUUGCUUAACCCUGUUUUAGCGUUGCUAGUUGCAGGUGCAGUUGCUUCCAUGUGAAAACAUGGGUUCCUUGUUCUAUCACCCUAUUAAAUGCUAUUUAAUUUAAUGCACCUAUAUACUUGGUAAAAGGUGGAAGGCUCGGCCUUUCUAGCCUGGUGUUUUGUUCCACCUUUGCCCCCUUAGUUUCGGCUACCGGUGUUAUGUUCCAUAAAUGAGCGCUCCUAACACGAUCGGGGUUGUUAUGGGGACGCCCUUGAUAAUUCCUUUUAGAUUAAAGCUGGUCUGGCAAGGCCCAACAUUGGUACUACAUUUGCCCAACAUAAUAAUUCUGUUAAUUUGAAAUGCAUAGGGCGUUAGCGCUACCCAAGGAGUAAUUCUACAUAAUACAGGUAGGGCCAGUGCUGAUGGUGCUGGUCCAAAACAGAGCAUUCUGCGGGGCCAACGUGAGGAAACUCGAGGUUUGGCACUCGUACGCGUAGCUUAUCCGUCGUGUCCUGAGAACGAGAUAUGCGGCUCCUAUCGGGAUCGUCGACACGCCGGGCGGCCUUGCUGGAUUAGUUUUUACCUUUGACGAGAUAUCUUGUGCAUCGGGAUUCCGAUGAGGUUUUCCACUAGGGAAUCCAAUGAUAUCGCAAGCUUCGUGAUUGAGGAUUUCUAUGUGGCUUGUGGUAAUUUGUGAUGGACCAGUUGGAGCACCCCUGCAGGGUUAAAUCUUUCGGAAAGCCGUGCCCGCGGUUAUGUGGCAACGUGGAAACUUUGUUUAACACUGGUUCUAGAUAACUUGAAGUUAACUUAUUAAAAUAUGCCAACUGUGUGCGUAACCGUGACUGUCUCUUUCGUGAGUUCCUUCUCCGAUCGAGGACACGGUGGGGUUAUGUCUGACGUAGGUAGGUGUUCAGGAUCAUUCAUUUGAUCAUCAGUAGUUCACGUCCGCUAUGCGUAGAUCUUCCCCCUCUUAUUUCUUGUACUCGUAAGUGUAGCCACCAAAUAAAUGCUUAGCCGCUGCUGCAACCUCACCACUUAACCAUGCCUCACCCAUUAAGCUUUGCUAGUCUUGAUAACUUUGGAAAUGAGAUUGCUGAGUCCCCUGUGGCUCACAGAUUACUACAACACCAGUUGCACGUACAAGUAAAGGGUACUUGACGUGAGCGCGUUGAUUGUUCAUUUGGAGUUGCUUCUUCUUCUUCUUCUUCUUCAUCGAUCUAGGAUGGGUUCCAGGCCGGCAGCCUGGGAUAGCAAGGAUGGACGUCGUUCUUAUUUUGUCGUUUGUUUUCAUCCGUAGUCGGACCCUGCUCUUACUCUUGAUGAAUUCGUACCGUACUUCUGUGACUCUGAUGUAGCUUGUGGCGAGUAUAAGCCAAUUCUAGACAUAUAUCUCAUCUUUACAGUACAUGUACUUGUAACGAUAUCCAUUCUUGCGACACGAUGAGAUGCUCUUCUAACCCUGACGAGACCUUCGUGCCAAAUUGAGGAUAGGGUCGCAUCUUGGGCGUGACAAUCACCAACUCACCGACAUGAUCUCCAUCGUCACCGGUGCCACACCAUGAUCUCCAUCAUUGUGCUGCCAUCGAGGUUGUCGCGCUAACUAUGCUGUUACUACUAAGACUACUACUAGCGAUAAAGCAAAGCUUCACCAAGGGCAAAAUAAUUAAAGACAACCCUGUGGCUCCUGCCGGUUGCCGUAGCAUCGACGUCCAAGUCGAUAUUUAACUAUUACAACAUGAUCAUCUCAUUCAUCCAAUAUAUCAUAUCAUGUCUUUGGCCAUAUUGAUACGUCCAUUUUGCAUCAUGCGUUUAUAUCAAUGUUUAUUGCAUCAUGGAUGUUAAUACAUAUUAUGGUACAAUACUUAUGCCUUUUCUCUCUUAUUUUACAAGAUUUACACGAAGAUGGAGAUUGCCGGCAGCUGGAAUUCUGGACUAGAAAAGGAGCAAAUCUAAGAGAUCUAUUCUGCACAGCUCCAACAGUCCUGAAUAGUUACGGAGAAUUGUUUUGGAAUAUAUAAAAAAUAAAUGGGCGAAAGAAGUACCAGAGGGACCCACCAGGAGGUCACAAGCCAAGGGGCGCGACCUACCCCCCUUGCCGCUCCGUGCAGGCUUGCCCCCCCUGCAAGCCUCCUGUGCCCAUCUUCUGCUGCAUUAAGGGUUUUGACCUGGAAAAAUCAUAUCAUAGCUUCCGGGAUGCAGCACCACCGUCUCGAGGCGGAACUUCGACAUAACCAAUCUAGAGCUCCGACGGAGCUAUUCCGUCGGGGAAACUUCCCUCCCGGAGGGGAAAUUGAAGCCAUCAUCAUCGCCAACGAUCCUCUCAUCAAGAGCGGAUCAAUCUCCAUCAACAUCUUCAUCAGCACCAUCUCCUCUCCAAACCCUAAUUCAUCUCUUGUAUCCGAUCUUUGUCUCAAAACCUCAGAUUGGUACAUGUGGGUUGCUACUAGUGUUGAUUAAGCUUUGUAGUUGAUGCUAGUUGGUUUAUUUUGUAGAAGAUCAUAUGUUCAUAUCCUUAAUGAUUAUUAAUACUCCUCUGAUUAUGAACAUGAAUAUGCUUUGUGAGUAGUUAUGUUUGUUCCUCAGGACAUGGGAUAAGUCUUGUUAUAAGUAAUCAUGUGAAUUUGGUAUUCGUUCGAUAUUUUGAUAAGAUAUAUGUUCUCUCUUCUCUAGUGGUGUCAUGUGAACGUCGACUACAUGACACUUCAACAUUAUUUGGGCCUAGAGGAAGGCAUUGGGAAGUAAUAAGUAGAUGAUGGGUUGCUAGAGUGACAGAAGCUUAAAACCUGGUUUAUGUGUUGCUUCGUAAGGGGCUGAUUUGGAUCCAUAGGUUUAAUGCUAUGGUUAGAUUUAUCUUAAUUAUUCUUUCAUAGUUGUCGAUGCUUGCGAGAGAGGUUAAUCAAAAGUGGGAUGUUUUUCCAAGUAAGGGCAGCACCCAAGCACCGGUCCACCCACAUAUCAAAUUAUCAAAUUAACAGACGCGAACCAUAUGAGCAUGAUGAAAACUAGCUUGACAUAAAUUCACAUGUGUCCUCGGGAGAGAUUUUCUUUAUAUAAGAGUUUUUCCAGGCUUGUCCUUUGCUACAAAAAGGAUUGGGCCACCUUGCUGCACCUUUUUUACAAUUUUUACUUGUUACCCGUUACAAAUUACCUUAUCACAAAGCUAUCUAUCACCGAUAAUUUCAGUGCUUGCACAGAAUACCUUACAAAACCGCUUGUUAUUCCCUCCCGCUCCUCGUUGGGUUCGACACUCUUACUUAUCGGAAGGACUAUGAUAGGUCCCCUAUACUUGUGGGUCAUCAAGACUCUUUUCUGGCGCCGUUGUCGGGGAGUGAAGUGCCUUUGGUAAGUGGAACUUGGUAAGGAAAAAUUUAUAUAUUGUGCUGAAAUUUACUGUCACUUGUCACUAUGGUAAAUAAUCCUUUGAGGGGCUUGUUUGGAGUAUAUUCACCUGACCGGAAGCACAAAGAGAUGCUCCUCAACCUGCUGCACCUACUGGAAAUAUUUAUUAUGAAAUUCCUUCGGGUAUGAUAGAAACACCGCUAGCUAAUCCUUAUGCAAGAGAUGGAACACUACAUCCUGAUUUGCACCUAAUCUUUGUGGAUGAAGUUUAUUUAAGCUUGCAGGUCUGCCCGAGGAUGAUGUCAAGAAGAAGGUAUUUACUUUAUAUUUGAAGGAAAAGGCGUUGACAUGGUAUAGGCUAUGUGUUGAUAUUGGAUCAUGGAACUACAACCGAUUGAAAUUGGAGUUUCAUCAGAAGUUUUACCCUAUGCAUAUGGUUCAUCGUGAUCGGAAUUAUAUUUAUAAUUUUUGGCCUCGUGAAGGAGAAAGAAUCGCUCAAGCUUGGGGAGGCUUAAGUCAUUGUUAUAUUAAUGCCCCAAUCAUGAUCUCCUGAGAUAAAUUAUUAUUCAGAAUUUUUAUGCUUGGCUCUCUCGUAAUGAUCAACCCAUGCUCGACAAUUCUUGUGAUGGUUCCUUUAUGAAGAAAGAUAUUGAAUUCAAAUGGUACUUAUUGGAAAGAAUUAAAAACAACUCUGAAGAUUAGAAACUUGACGAAGGUAAUGAGUGAGGUAUAAGACUUAAAUUUGAUUGUGUUAAAUCCUUUAUAGACACCGAUGCUUUUCGUGAUUUUAGCAUUAAAUAUGGACUUGACUCUGAGAUAGUAGCUUCAUUUUGUGAAUCUUUUGCUACUCAUGUUGAUCUCCCCAAGGGGAAGUGGUUUAAAUAUCAUCCUCCCGUUGAAGUUAAAGUGGUAGAACCUAUUAAAGUUGAAGAAGAAACUACUAUUUAUAAUGUUGAUCCUGUUAUUCCUACUGCUUAUAUUGAGAAACCACCCUUUUUUGUUAGGAUAAAGGAACAUGCUAAAGCUUCAACUGUGGUUCGUAAGAGUUGUGCUAGAACACCCAUACCUCGUGAACAAAAUAAAGUAGAACCUAAUAUUGCUAUGGUUAAAUAUCUCUUGGUUGAUAAUAUUGAUGGACAUGUCAUUCACUUCUGAAAUGAAGCCGCUAGAAUUGCUAGACCUGAUACUAAAGGUGAACAUAGACCUAUUGUUGGCAUGCCUGUUGUUUCUGUUAAAAUAGGAGAGCAUUGUUAUCAUGGCUUAUGUGAUAUGGGUGCUAGUGUGAGUGCAUUUCCCUUUACCUUAUACCAAUAAAUUAUGAAUGAUAUCGCACGAGCCGAAUUAGAGGAAAUUGAUGUUACCAUCAAGCUUGCUAAUAGAGAUAAUAUUUCACCAAUUGGAAUUGUUAGAGAUGUUGAAGUCUUGUGUGGGAAAAUAAAGUAUCCUACUCAUUUUCUUGUUCUUGGUUCCCCACAAGAUGAUUUUUGUCCCAUUAUAUUCGGUAGACCCUUCUUGAAUACUGUUAAUGUUAAGACUGAUUGUGAAAAAGAAACUGUUACUGUAAGUUUUGGGGAUGCAUCUCAUGAGUUCAAUUUCUCUAAAUUUCGUAGACAACCCCAUGACAAAGAAUUGCCAAGUAAAGAUGAAAUUAUUGGUCUCGCUUCUACGUUGUGCCUCCUACCGAUCCCUUAGAACAAUAUUUGCUAGACCAUGAAAAUGAUAUGUAUAUGAAUGAAAUGAAUGAAAUAGAUAAGAUUUUCUUUGAUCAACAGCCUAUUCUGAAACACAACCUGCAUGUUGAAAUACUCGGGGAUCCUCCUCCACCUAAGGGUGAUCCCGUGUUUGAGCUUAAAAAAAUUACCUCAUACUCUGAAUAUGCUUAUCUUGAUGAAAAAUAGAUAUAUCAUGUUAUUAUUAGUUCUAACCUUUGAGAGCAUGAAGAAAAUAGAUUAUUGAAAACCGUGAGGAAGCACCGUGCCGCUAUUGGAUAUAAUCUUGAUGAUCUUAAGGGCAUUAGUCCCACUCUAUGUCAACACAAAAUCAAUAUGAGGCCUGAUGCUAAACCAGUUGUUGGUCACCAACGACGAUUAAAUCCUAAAAUGAAGGAAGUGGUAAGAAAUGAAAUACUAAAGCUUCUGGAGGCAGGUAUAAUUUAUCCUAUUGCUCAUAGUAGAUGGGCUAGUCAUGUUCAUUGUGUCCCUAAAAAGGGAGGUAUUACCAUUGUUCCUAAUGAUAAAGAUGAAUUGACCCCGCAAAGAAUUGUUACAAUAUAUAGAAUGGUAACUGAUUUAAGGAAAUUGAAUAAGGCUACUAGGAAAGAUCAUUAUCUGCUAUCUUUUAUUGAUCAAAUGCUAGAAAGACUAUCCAAACAUACACAUUUUUGCUUUCUAGAUGGUUACUCUCGCUUCUCUCAAAUACAUGUAUCAAAAGAGGAUCAAGAGAAGACCACUUUUACUUGCCCUUUAGGUACCUUUGCUUAUAGACAUAUGCCUUUUGGUUUAUGCAAUGCAUCUUCUACCUUUCAAAGAUGUAUGAUGGCUAUAUUCUCCGACUUUUGCGAAAAGAUUGUUGAAGUUUUCAUGGAUGAUUUUUCCGUUUACGGAACUUCUUUUGAUGAUUGCUUGAGCAACCAUGAUCGAGUUUGGCAGAGAUGUGAAGAAACUAAUCUUGUCUUGAAUUGGGAGAAGUGCCACAUUAUGGUUAAUGAAGGCAUCGUCUUGGGACACAAAAUCUCCGAAAGAGGUAUUGAAGUUGACAAAGCUAAAGUUGAUGCUAUUGAAAAAAUGCCGUGUUCAAUAGAUGUUAAAGGUAUAAGAAGUUUCCUUGGUCAUGUCGGUUUCUAUAGGAGAUUUAUUAAAGACUUAUCUAAAAUUUCUAAGCCGCUCACUAAUAUUUUGCAAAAGUAUGCCCCAUUCAUUUUUUAAGAUGAUUGUGUAGAAGCAUUUGAAAUUCUUAAGAAAACCUUGAUCACUGCACCUAUUGUUCAACCACCUGAUUGGAACCUACCCUUUGAAAUUAUGUGUGAUGCUAGUGAUUAUGCUGUUGGUGUUGUUCUAGGACAAAUAGUUGAUAAGAAAUUAAAUGUCAUCCAUUGCGCUAGUAAAACUUUAGACAAUGCUCAAAGAAACUACGCUACCACUGAAAAGGAAUUUUUAGAAGUUGUGUUUGCUUGCGAUAAGUUUAGACCUUAUAUUGUUGAUUCCAAAGUAACUGUUCACAUUGAUCAGCUGCUAUUAAGUACCUUAUGGAAAAGAAAGAUGCUAAAGCUAGACUUAUUGGAUGGGUUCUUCUGCUACAAGAAUUUGAUCUGCAUAUUAUUGAUAAAAAGGGCGCUGGUAACCCCGUAGCAGAUGACUUGUCUAGAUUAGAGAAUGUUCUUGAUGACCCACUACCUAUUGAUGAUAACUUCCCUGAUGAACAAUCAGUUGUCAUAAAUGCUUCACGCAAUGCUCCUUGGUAUGCUGAUUAUGCUAACUACAUUGUUGCUAAAUUUAUACCGCCUAGCUUCACAUACCAACAAAAGAAAAAGUUGUUAUAUGAUUUAAGACAUUACUUUUGGGAUGAUCCACACCUUUACAAGGAAGGAGUAGAUGGUAUUAUUAGACGUAUUGUACGUGAGAAUGAACAUGGACAGAUCCUUCACAAGUAUCACUUUGAGGCCUGCAGAGGACACCAUGCUGGAGAUAGAACUGCACACAAGGUAUUACAAUCUGGUUUUUAUUGGCCUACUCUCUUCAAGGAUGCUCGUAAGUUUGUCUUGUCUCGUGAUGAAUGUCAAAGAAUUGGUAAUAUUAGUAGACAUCAGGAAAUGCCUAUGAAUUACUCUCUAGUUAUUGGACCAUUUGAUGUUUGGGGAUUUGAUUAUAUGGGACCUUUUACAAAAUCCAACGUGUAUACUCAUAUUCUAGUGGGUGUUGAUUAUGUUACUAAGUGGGUAGACACUAUUCCAACUAGUAGUGUUGAUCAUAACACUUCUAUUAAAAUGCUGAAAGAAGUUAUUUUCCCUAGAUUUGGAGUCCCUAGAUAUUUAAUGACUCAUGGUGGUUCACAAUUUAUUCAUGGUGCUUCCCGUAAAUUGCUUGCUAGGUAUGAUGUUAAUCAUAGAAUUGCAUCUCCUUAUCAUCCUCACUCUAGUGGGCAAGUAGAAUUGAGCAACACAGAAAUUAAAUUGAUCUUGCAAAAGACCGUUAAUAGAUCUAGAAAGAAUUGGUCUAAGAAACUUGACGAUGCAUUAUGGGCUUAUAGAACCGCUUACAAAAACCCUAUGGGUAUGUCUCCUUAUAAAAUGGUUUAUGGUAAAGCAUGUCACUUACCUCUAGAUCUAGAACAUAAAGCUUAUUGGGAAAUUAAAUAGCUUAACUAUGGUUUCAAACUUGCCAGUGAGAAUAGGUUAUUUGACAUUAGCUCACUUGAUGAAUGGAGAACCUAGGCCUAUGAGAAUGCCAAGUUGUUUAAAGAAAAGGUUAAGAGAUGGCAUGAUAGAAGGAUACAAAAGCGUGAAUUCAAUGUAGGUGAUCAUGUCUUGCUAUACAACUCUCGUUUAAGAUUUUUUGCAGGAAAACUUCUCUCUAAAUGGGAAGGGCCUUACCUUAUCGAGGAAGUAUAUCGUUCCGAUGCCAUCAAGAUCAACAACGCCGAAGGCACAAAUCUGAAGGUGGUAAAUGAGCAAAGAAUCAAACAUUAUAUCUAAGGUACUCCCAUAAAUGUUGAAACUAAUAUUAUCAAUACCAUAACUCCGGAAGAGUACAUUAGGGAGACCUAUCAGAACGUCUCGGACCCCGAAAAGGAAUAGGUAUGUGCUACGGUAAGCAAACCGACUCCAAAGCGUUUUCAAUGGUAAUUUUUACCAGUUUUGGAAUAUUUAAAAAUUAGGAAAAUUUAAUAUAGUCCGAAGCGUGCACGAGGAGUCGACAAGCUAGGGGCGCGGCCUACCCCCCUGGCCGCUGAUGGCCCAUAAGUGUAGCGGAUCAAUCGUACUCCUUUCGAUAAGUAAGAGUGUCGAACCCAACAAGGAGCAGAAGGAUCUGACAAGUGGUUUUCAGCAAGGUAAUCUGUGCAAGCACUGAAUUACCGGUAACAUAUAGUUGUGUGGUAAGAUGAUUCGUAGCAAGUAGCAAGUAACAAUAGUAACAACGGUGCAGAAAAGUGGCCCAAUCCUUUUUGUAGCAAGGGACAAGCCUGGACAAACUCUUAUAGGAGGUAAAGCGCUCCCGAGGACACAUGGGAAUUUCUGUCAGGCUAGUUUUCAUCAUGUUCAUAUGCUUCACGUUCGCUACUUUGAUAGUUUGAUAUGUGGGUGGACCGGCGCUUGGGUACUGAUCUUACUUGGACAAGCAUCCCACUUAUGAUUAACCCCUCUCGCAAGCAUCCUCAACUACAAAAGAAGAAUUAAGACAAAGUCUAACCAUAGCAUUAAACUAGUGGAUCCAAAUCAGCCCCUUACGAAGCAACGCAUAAACUAGGGUUUAAGCUUAUGUCACUCUAGCAACCCAUCAUCUACUUACUACUUCCCAAUGCCUUCCUCUAGGCCCAAAUAAUGGUGAAGUGUUAUGUAGUCGACGUUCACAUAACACCACUAGAGGAGAGACAACAUACAACACAUCAAAAUAUCGAACGAAUACCAAAUUCACAUGACUACUUAUAGCAAGACUUAUCCCAUGUCCUCAGGAACAAAAGUGACUACUCACAAAGCAAAAUAAUAUUAAUGACCAGAGAGGUAUUGAAUAGCAUCAAGGAUCUGAACAUAUAAUCUUCCACCAAGUAAUCCAACUAGCAUCAACUACAAAGAGUAAUUAACACGACUAGCAACCUUACAAGUACCAAUCGGAGUCGCGAGAUGGAGAUUGGUUACAAGAGAUGAACUAGGGUUUGGAGAUGAGAUGGUGCUGAUGAAGAUAUUGAUGGUGAUGAGUCCCCUCCGAUGAGAGGAGCGUUGGUGAUGACGAUGGCGACGAUUUCCCCCUCCGGGAGGGAAGUUUCCCCGGCAGGACGACCCUACCGGAGCUCUAGAUUGGUUCUGCUCAAGUUCCGCCUCGUGGCGGCGGCGAUUCCUCCUGAAAGCCUCCUCUUAAUUUUUUCUGGAACGAAACUCUCCUUAUCGCAAAAGAGGGGGGGGGGCAGAGGGCCAACAAGGAGCCCACAAGCCCCCAAGGUGCCACCGGGGGGGGGGGGGGGGGGGGNCAGCCCGCAGGCGCGCCGUGGGUGGGGGGGGGGGGUAGGUCGCGCCUAGCAGGCUUGUGGCCUCCUGCUGGCUCCGCUCUGGUACUUCUUUGGCCCAGUAUUUUGUAGAAAUUCCAAAAUAAAUCCUCGUUGAUUUUCACGGCUUUUGGAGUUGCGCAGAAUAGGUAUCUCAAACUUGCUCCCUUUUCAGGCCAGAAUUCCAGCUGCCGGCGUUCUCCCUCUUCAUGCAAACCUUGCAAAAUAAGAGAGAAAAUGCAUAAGUAUUGUACCGUGAAGUGUAAUAACAACCCAUAAAGCGAUAAAUAUCGACAUGAAAGCAUGAUGCAAAAUGGACGUAUCAACUCCCCCAAGCUUAGACCUCGCUUGUCCUCAAGCGGAAGCCGAGAUCAAUAAAUAUGCCCACAUGUUUAGAGAGAGAGGUGUCGACAAAACAAGAUACGGACAUGCAGGCAUCAUGAUCAUAGUCAGAACAACAAUAUCAUCAUAUCAUCUCUUAUGCUAAAGUGAUAAUUCCUUCACAAAGUAAAGUAUGGAUCAAGAAGCUUAAUGAGAAUUAACAACCGAUAGCCUUUAGUCAUUGAAGCAAUUGCAAUUUAUCAUAACAUCAGAAAGAGUCAAGUAAGAGUUUGUAAAGCUAAUCCACAUACUCAAUCAUCAUUUUGUCUUCUACAAUUGCUACAACUCACGUGGUACUCAUGAGAUCAAAGUUUCAGUCGGACACAGAGAAAGAUAGGGGCUUAUAGUUUCGCCUCCCAACUAUUUACCUCAAGGGUAAUGUCAACAAUAAUAAUUCAUGAAUACUUACUUCCAAGUUGACAUAUGAAUAUAGAUCUUUCCCAAGCAUAUGACGUUAGCGAAGAUAAAGGCGAGAUAGGGAAUUGGUGAAGAUCACCAUGACUCUGUAGAUCACCAUGACUCUUUCAAGGGAAAAAAGUAAAGGUACAAGAUAGGCCCUUCGCAGAGGUAAGCAGAGGUUGUCAUACGCUUUUGAGGUUUGGAUGUGCGACCUCUCAGUGUGAAGGAACGUCACUUUAUAUUGCCUCCCGUGAUAAAGAACUUUAUUAUGCAGUCUGUAGCUUUUAUGUCUUCCUCAUCACAGGUUCGUACAAAGAUUAUUUUCCACACACUAAUAGAUCAUACAUAACUAGGGAGCAAUUUUUAUUGCCUGCACCGAUGACAACUUACUUGAGGGAUCUUAUUCAAUCCAUAGGUAGGUAUGGUGGACUCUCAUGGCAAAACUGGGUUGAAGGUUUAUGGAUGCACAAGUAGUAUAUCUACUUGGUGCGGGAGUUUUGGCUGAUAUGGGGUGGAAGCAAUCGUCACAUGCUAAGGGAUCUCUAAUCAUAUAACAUUGUUUGGAACUAAGCAAAAAUAAUUCAUUAUGUUGUCUUCCUUGUCCAACAUCUACUUCUAAGCAUGUAAUAGUUUAGUGAGUGUUCACAAUCAUAGAUGGUGUCAAAGAUGGUAUAUUUAUAUGUGAACCUCUCCUUCUUUAUCACUUCCUAUUGAUUGCAACAAUGACCAAGGUCUACGUUUGUCUACCCUCAACAAGUUUCAAUCAACAUUAUUUUUAUAUGUGAACCCAUCACUUUCCGUAAGAUCAUUACAUGAUCUUUCAUGCUUUUGUUCUUUUAUGAUUCUUUUCUUUCAGAUCAUGGCAUGAGGCAAAGCCCUUAACUAAAACACUCUUUAUUAUAUGGCUCAUGAGCUCGAAUAAAUCAGGGGUGACAAAAAGCAAAACUCAAGCCUAAAACACUAAGAACUUUAUUCUACUAGAGAAAGAUAAAACCAAAAAGGAUCAAACUAAGAAAAGGUAAAGGCAAAAGAUGUGAUGGUGAUACGAUACCGGGGCAACUCUCCCAAGCUUGGCAUAAGCCAAGGGGAUUGCCCAUACCCGUGCUUAGUUGUCUUCCUUUGAUGGUGAUGGUGGUGGAGUUGUUGCAGAGGUCUUGAACUUGUUUAAUUUCCUCUUGAGCAUAAAAUUCCGCUCCUUCAGAUCAUUAAUUUCCUCUUCAAGCCUCAACACCCUUUGGCAUAAUUCCUGCUUACUCUCCUGCAAAAGACGAGAAGGGAUAAAAAAAUAUUAGGCUUCUUCCUUGAGUCAGGGAGGCUCGACUUCUUGAACUCCACAUGUGUGUCUCCAAGUUGAGGUAGAGGAGCCUCCUCCUCAUCAGAACAUGUUCCUUCCUUCCCCUUGGGAUCAUAAUCUUCUUCCUCAUCAGUGGUCAGCCAUAAGUAUCCAAGUUCCCAUAGACCUUGGGGUUAGCAAGGUAAUCGGCCACAUAGCUCUCCCCCUAUGAAUCUUGAGAAGACAUCUUGCUUUAAAUCUGCAGCAGAAAACAAGCUCGAAACGAAAACAGAAGAAAAUUGCGUGAUACGAGGGUCAGACCUUACGGGAGAAUAUAUAAUGAUUUUUUCCCGACCAGAAGGAGUACUCCGCAAGUAAAUGGAGUCUGGGAGGCACACGAGGUGGUCACAAGCCCCCCAGGCGCGGCCAGGGGGUGGCCCGUGCCUGGCAAGCUUGUCGCCUCCUCGUGCGCUUUCCAGACUACUUUAAUUUUUUUUUCUAUUUUUCUAAAAAUUCCAAAACAAAGAAAAAUUCCUACUGGAAAAGUUUUGGAGUCAGUUUACUUACCGAAUCACAUACCUCUUCGUUUUCGGAGUCUGAAACAGGCUGAUAAAUAUCCCUUAUGUUCUCCUCUGGAGUUAUGGUAUUGAUAAUAUUGCUUUCAACAUUUAUGGGAGUACCUGAGAUAUAAUGCUUGAUUCUUUGCCCAUUUACCACUCUCGGAAAAUUACCUUCCGUGUUGUUGAUCUUGAUGGCACCGGAAUGAUAUACUUCCUCAACAAUGUAGGGACCUUCCCAUUUAGAGAGAAGCUUGCCUGCAAAAAAUCUAAAACGAGAAUUAUAUAGCAAGACAUAAUCACCUACAUUGAACUCACGCUUUUGUAUCCUUUUAUCAUGCCACCUCUUAACCUUUUCUUUGAACAACUUGGCAUUCUCAUAUGCCCGAGUUCUCCAUUCAUCAAGUGAGGUAAUAUCAAACAACCUCUUCUCACCAGCAAGUUUGAAAUCAAAGUUGAGCUCUUUGAUUGCCCAAUAAGCCUUAUGCUCUAGCUCAAGAGGUAAAUGACAUGCUUUACCGUAAACCAUUUUGUACGGAGACAUGCCCAUGGGAUUCUUAUAGGCAGUUCUAUAAGCCCACAGUGCAUCAUCGAUCUUCUUAGACCAAUUCUUUCUAGACCUAUUGAUAGUCUUUUGCAGAAUUAGUUUAAUCUCUCUAUUUCUUAGCUCUACUUGACCACUGGACCGAGGAUGAUAGGGAGAUGCAAUUCUACGAUUGACAUCAUACUUAGAAAGUGUUUUACAGAAAGCACCAUGAAUGAAAUGUCAACCACCAUCGGUCAUUAGAUAUCUAGGGACUCCAAAUCUAGGGAAAAUAACUUCUUUAAGCAUCCUGAUAGAGGUGUUGUGAUCAACACUACUAGUUGGGGUAGCUUCUACCCACUUAGUGACGUAGUGAACAACAACUAGGAUAUGAGUAUACCCGUUGGAUUUUGGAAAAGGUCCCAUAUAAUCAAAGCCUCAAACAUCAAAUGGUUCAAUGAAAAGUGAAUAAUUCAUAGGCAUUUCCUGACGUUUACCGAUAUUACCUAUUCUUUGACAUUCGUCACAAGACAAGGCAAACUUACGGGCAUCCUUGAAGAGAGUGGGCCAAUAGAAACCUGAUUGCAAUACCUUGUGUGCAGUUCUAUAUCCCGCAUGGUGUCCUCCGUAGGCCUCGGAGUGACACUUCUGUAGGAUCUGUCCUUGUUCAUGUUCAGUUACACAACGUCUAAUAACACCAUCUACUCCUUCCUUAUAAAGGUGAGGAUCAUCCCAAAAGUAAUGUCUCAAAUCAAAGAAGAAUUUCUUCUUUUGCUGGUAUGUGAAACUAGGUGGUAUAUAUUUGGCAACGAUAUAGUUUGCAUAAUCAGCAUACCACGGUGUACUACGUGAAGUAUUGAUGACAUUCAAUUCCUCAGCAGGGAAGCUAUCAUCAAUAGGUUGUGGGUCAUCAAGAACAUUCUCCAACCUAGACAAGUUAUCUGCUACUGGGUUCUCAGCACCAUUCCUAUCGACAACAUGCAAAUCAAAUUCUUAUAGCAAGAGAACCCAUCUGAUAAGUCUAGGUUUAGCGUCUUUCUUUUCCAUGAGGUACUUAAUAACAACGUGAUUAGUGUGAAUAGUGACUUUGGAAUCAACAAUGCAAGACCUGAACUUUUCACAUGCAAACACGACUGCUAAAAAUUCCUUUUUCGUAGUAGCAUAGUUUCUUUGGGCACUGUCUAGAGUUUUACUAGCAUAGUGAAUAACAUUCAACUUCUUAUCAACUCUUUGUCCUAGAAUAGCGCCAACAACAUAAUCACUAACAUCACACAUGAUUUCAAAAGGUAAGUUCCAAUCAGGUGAUUGAACAAUAGGCACAGUUAUCAAGGCCUUCUUAAGUAUUUCGAAGGCUUCCUCACAAUCAUCGUUAAAAACAAAAGGAAUAUCGUUUUGCAAGAGAUUGGUAAGAGGACUAGAAAUCUUAGAGAAGUCUUUAAUGAACCUUCUAUAGAAACCACCAUGACCAAGGAAACUUCUUAUACCUUUGAUAUCUGUGGGGCAUGGCAUUUUCUCGAUCGCAUUAACCUUAGCCUUAUCGACUUCAAUACCUCUUUCAGAAAUUCUAUGUCCGAAGACGAUGCCUUCAUUAACCAUAAAGUGGCACUUCUCCCAAUUCAAGACAAGAUUGGUAUCCUUACAUCUCUACAAGACUCGAUCAAGGUUGCUAAGGCAAUCAUCAAAAGAAGACCCGUAAAUGGAGAACUCAUCCAUGAAAACCUCAACAAUCUUUUCACAAAAAGUCAGAGAAUAUAGCCAUCAUACAUCUUUGAAAGGUGGCAUGUGCGUUACAUAAGCCAAAAGGCAUACGUCUAUAAUAAAAGGUACCGAAAGGGCAGGUGAAAGUGGUUUUCUCCUAAUCAGAUUGUGCAACUGGUAUUUGGGAGAAACCAGCAUAACCAUCUAGAAAGCAGAAGUGUGUGUGUUUAGACAGUCUUUCUAGCAUUUGGUCGAUAAAAGGCAAAGGGUAAUGAUCUUUCCUAGUGGCUUUAUUCAAUUUCCUAAAAUCGAUCACCAUCCUAUAGCGAGUAAUAAUCCUGUGUGGGAUCAAUUCAUCCUUAUCAUUAGGAACAACGGUAAUACCUCCCUUCUUAGGGACGCAAUGCACCGGACUCAAUCAAUCACUAUGAGAAACAUGACAGAUAAUACAUGCUUCCAGGAGCUUUAGUAUUUCUUUUCUUACUACCUCUUUCAUCUUAGGAUUUAAUCUCCGUUGGUGAUCGGAAACUGGCUUGGAAUCAGGAUCAGUUUUAAUCUUGUGCUGGCAUAGAGUGGGACUAAUGCCCUUAAGAUCAUCAAGAGUAUAUCCAAUAGCAGCACGGUGCUUCCUCGGAGUUUUUAGUAACUUCUUUUCUUCAUGCUGUGAGAGGCUAGCACUAAUAAUAACAGGAUAUAUCUCUUUUUCACCGAGAUAAGCAUACUUAAGAGUACCAGGCAACUGUUUAAGCUCGAACACAGGAUCACCCUUUGGUAGGGGUGGAUCUCCAAGCAGUUCAACAUGCAAAUUAUUCUUAAGGAUAGGAUAUUGUUCAAAGAUAACUCUAUCUAUCUCAUCCCUUUCAUCCAUAUGCAUAUCAUUUUCAUGCUCAAGCAAGUAUUGCUCUAAAGGAUUAGUAGGAGGCACGACAAUAGAAGCUAGGGCAAUAAUUUCAUCCUUACUAGGUCACUCUUUCUCAUGAGGUUGUCUACCAAACUUGGAGAAAUUAAACUCAUGUGACACACCUUCAAAGCCAACAGUGAUAGUUUGCUUCUCACAGUCAAUAUGAGCAUUGACAGUAUUGAGAAAAGGUCUGCCAAAUAUGAUGGGACAAAAGCUAUCUUGUGUGGUAGCAAGAACGAGAAUAUCAGCAGGAUACUUCGUUUUACCACACAAGACUUCAACAUCUCUAACAAUUCCCAAAGGGCAGAUAGUAUCUUUAUUGGCAAGCUGGAUAGUGACAUCAAUAGGUUCCAUCUCAACAGGUGUAAUCUCGUCCUUAAUUUCAUCAUAUAAGGAUUGAGGUAUUGCACUAACACUAGUACCCACGUCACAUAAACCAUGAUAACAAUGAUCUUUCCUAUCUUAACAGAAACAACAGGCGUGCCAACAACAGGCCUAUGUUGAUCUCUAGCAUGUGGUUUAGCAAUUCUAGCAGCAUCUUCACACAAGUGAAUAUCAUGGCCAUCAACAUUGUCGGACAGGAGAUAUUUGAUAAUAGCAAUGCUAGGUUCAACUCUAAUUUUCUCAGGGGGUGUAGGUGUUCUAAUAUAGCCCCUACGUAUUACAGUUGAAACUUUAGAAUGAUCCUUUAUCCUAACAGGGAAAGGUGGUUUCUCAAUGUAAGCACUGGGAACAAUAGGAUCAUUAUAAGUGAUGACUUUCUCUUCAACUGGAUUGGGUUUAACUACAUUGACUUCCAAGGGAGGAUGAUAUUUAAACCACUUCUCUUUAGGGAGAUCAAUAUGAGCAGAAAAUGAUUCACACAAUGAAGCUACUAUCUUAGAGUCAAGUCCAUAUUUAGCGCUAAAAUCACUAAAAUUAUCUGUUUCAACAAAGGAUUUAACGCAAUCAAACUUGAAAUUCAUACCUAACUCCUUACCUUCAUCAAACUCCCAAUCUUCAGAGUUGCGUUUAAGUCUUUCAAAUAAAUUCCAUCUGAAGUCAAUAUCUCUCUUCAUAAAAGAACCGGUACAAGAAGUGUCAAGCAUGGUGCGAUCAUCAUGAGAAAGCCGAGCAUAGAAGUUCUGAAUGAUAAUUUCUCUCGAGAGCUCAUGGUUGGGGCAUGAAUAUAACAUUGAUUUAAGCCUCCCCUAGCUUGAGCUAUGCUUUCUCUGUCACGAGGUAAAAAAUUAUAAAUAUAAUUCCGACCACGAUGUACUAAAUGCAUAGGAUACAACUUUUGAUGAAAUUCCAAUUUCAACCGGUUGUAGUUCCAUGAUCCAGUAUCAUCACAUAACCUAUACCAUGUCAAUUCUUUAUCCCUCAAAGAUAAGUGAAAGACCGUUUUCUUGACCUCAUCCUCGGGUAUACCUGCAAGCUUAAAUAAACCACAAACUUCAUCUACAUAGAUUAGAUGCAAGUCGGGAUGUGAUGUUCCAUCUCCUGUAAAAGGAUUAGCCAGCAGUUUCUCAAGCAUACCCGAAGGAAAUUCAUAGAAAAUAUUUUCAGUAGGUGCAGCAGGUUGAGGAGCAAUUCCUUGUGCUUCCACUCGAGGUGAAGAUACCCCUAACAAGCUCCUCAAAGGAUUAGUUUCCAUAGUGACAAGUGACAAUAAAUUUCAGCACACUAUAUAAAUGUUUCCUUACCAAAUUCCACUUACCAAAGGCGCUUCACUCCCCGGCAACGGCGCCAGAAAUGAGUCUUGAUGGCCCACAAAUGUAGGGGAUCAAUUUUAGUCCUUUCGAUAAGUAAGAGUGUCGAACCCAACGAGGAGAAGGAUGAUCUGACAAGUGGUUUUUAGCAAGGUAAUCUGUGCAAGCACUGAAAUUGUCGAUAACAGAUAGUUGUGUGGUAAGAUGAUUCGUAGCAAGUAGCAAGUAACAGUAGUAACAACGGUGCAGCAAAGUGGCCCAAUCCAUUUUGUAGCAAGGGACAAGCCUGGAUAAACUCUUAUAGGAGGUAAAGCGCUCCUGAGGACACAUGGGAAUUUCUGUCAGGCUAGUUUUCAUCAUGUUCAUAUGCUUCGCAUUCGCUACUUUGAUAGUUUGAUAUGUGGGUGGACCGGCGCUUUGGUACUGCCCUUACUUGUACAAGCAUCCCACUUAUGAUUAACCCCUCUUGCAAGCAUCCGCAACUACGGAAGA